Molecule: non-coding RNA, 31 nt
Filed under: Mus musculus (house mouse)
Lineage: Eukaryota; Metazoa; Chordata; Mammalia; Rodentia; Muridae
Source: RNAcentral
AGGAAUGCCACUUUCAGAAGUCUACCACAGU